UCCCGCCCAGACAAAUCUUCGGCGCUGUGCGAUGAGGUGCCUUAUGGUGCCGUCAUGGCCGUGUCAGACGCCAUGGUGGUGUGUUGGGCGGAUUCUCCGCAUGCAUGGGAAGCAGAGCUAGACGAGUCGGCUGCAGCCCAAUCCUCCAUGCGGCACGUCAGGUCUUCCGCCCAGCCUGCCGAGUAGCGUUCCGCGACUCUGCGCUCGUUCGCCGCCUGGCGGAGCAUACGAGGCGGUGGGGCUUCCGUCAGGCUGCCGCCUUCCAACUGGCCAGCGGGAGCUUUGCCGGCCAUUUCCUGCCGUGCCACGUGAGGGCCCUGCUCCUCGACUCGGCCGGCAACUUGAUUCCGUCUCUCUCUCCUCUCAGGGGUCGGCCCGGGCUUCGGAGGUCGGCUGGUGGGAAGCAGACUGCGGCUGUUGUGGCGUCAGCACGCAGUGGCGGUGCGGCGGCGGCGUCGGCAGCGUAACAGCCAUUGCAAUGAGGUACUGGCACCGCACGCUCUGUUGAAAUGCAGAACGUUAUAAUGGUGCAGUGCGGGUCAAUGUAACAAGCAUUUCACGCUUUGCCAUAUUUUUGACGAGUUCCUGACGUAUAGUCAUUAGGUCCUAGGUCCACAGCUGAAACAUAAGUGUUGUACGUGAAUAUGCCCAUAACAGGUUAGCGGACAAAUAUAAUGCGCAGUAAAUUUAUGCACGCUGUUCUGCUGCCACUUUGAAAAGUAGCGAUUUUCGACCAUAAGCGGCGCUGAAAUCGGAAUUGUUGAUCAAGGCAAUUGGCCUGCGACCAUAGGACGACCGUAUGACAAGGCCGUCAUAUAAUGAAAAAGUCGCAACGCCCGAAAUCUAAAAUAAUCAAUUGUAGCGUAUUCUACUGUUCAGCUGGAUUUUCUUGAGCUCACGACCUAUAUUAACUAACACUAGUCUAGGAGUCAUUAUACCAGCUUGAGGCCACCAAUUCAAGUAUAACGCCACGCAAGUCCCCGCCACACAGCCCGCCACGCAGACACCAGUCACCUCGUCCGGCCUUUAGGCCAGAAUGAUCGCGUGGUACUCGCCCGACCUGGACAGGAUCUAUUGUUCUGGAACCUUCGGCUGACCCCACUUCCGGACCACUUGACCUCCGCUGACCAGUCACGGCGCGCCCCAACACUCCACUUUGGCCAGA
Long non-coding RNA from Pollicipes pollicipes, 1165 nucleotides. RefSeq lists it as uncharacterized. NCBI's taxonomy places the organism in Eukaryota, Metazoa, Arthropoda, Thecostraca, Pollicipedomorpha, Pollicipedidae. The record is from RefSeq and is a predicted model, not a curated record. The transcript has 3 exons.